Molecule: long non-coding RNA, 261 nt
Filed under: Elaeis guineensis (African oil palm)
Lineage: Eukaryota; Viridiplantae; Streptophyta; Magnoliopsida; Arecales; Arecaceae
Description: long non-coding RNA (EGUI_LNC081596)
Source: RNAcentral
GCGCCACAUUAUACCUGCUCAGAGGAAGGUCUUCUAUAGCUACUUAAAGAUAAAAUAAUAUUUAGUAAAGUAUUUAAUUAGUAUUAUAUUUUUAUAAUAUUUGUUAUUGGCAGGCUAUAUUUAAUAUUGUUGAUUUUGAGCAUGAUUACGUACGACGAGUUAUGGAUGAUCAUCUAUGCUCACAUUUCAAAGAUUAUUGAUGUCACAGUCAUCGUCACUGGUAUGCUGUAGUGCAAGACUAAGGGGUCGAGGCAGCAUGGC